This 253-nucleotide ribosomal RNA is filed under the name uncultured bacterium. RNAcentral describes it as "partial 16S ribosomal RNA". It matches the Rfam family "Bacterial small subunit ribosomal RNA", at positions 524 to 776 of the family's 1533-position model. The record is from RNAcentral.
GACGUAGGGGGCGAGCGUUGUCCGGAUUUAUUGGGCGUAAAGCGUGCGUAGGCGGCUGCGCAAGUCGGGUGUGAAACCCCGGGGCUCAACCCCGGAACUGCAUCCGAUACUGCGUGGCUAGAGGUAGGUAGGGGAGAUCGGAAUUCCUGGUGUAGCGGUGGAAUGCGCAGAUAUCAGGAAGAACACCCGUGGCGAAGGCGGCUCUCUGGGACGGUACUGACGCUGAGACGCGAAAGCGUGGGGAGCGAACAGG